Molecule: long non-coding RNA, 4470 nt
Organism: Oncorhynchus nerka (sockeye salmon)
Lineage: Eukaryota; Metazoa; Chordata; Actinopteri; Salmoniformes; Salmonidae
Exons: 2
Source: RefSeq, a predicted model, not a curated record
GGUUGAUGAAUAGAAAACACAGCACAUUGUUGUUUACAAAGGUAUCUACUCAGUAGCGUAAACCCGCUAGGCUGAAGCAGACAGACGUUUCAACAUUUAUUUGAUAAAACAAACAGCUAGACUUUUAUUGCCCUCGCCAAUAUGUCCAAACUACAGUUACUGAAUGUGUUCGUUACGGAGCGUUUGUCGGCUGCUGCUGUGGAGAUACUCGGGGCCGUAGAGAAGACUAUAGCAGAGUAUCGGGAAGAAAUCUUCCGUUCAGCAGAGGAGAACGAGCGUCUACGGAGGGAGAUGGACAUGAUUAUCAAAUCAGAGAUACAGUUAUACAGAACAGACUUCCAGCAACUCACUCCAUCUGUUCCCCCUGAGCAGCAGAAGUGUGAGCAGGAGUGGAGCCCCAGUCUGGGGCAGGAGGACCCAGAACCCACACAGAUUAAAGAGGAACAGCAGGAGUUCAGACUCAGUCAGGAGGACCCACCUCAGCCCUCACAUCUUUACCAAAAACAAACUGUGGAUGAUGGAGAGAGGAGCGCUCUACCUAUCAUCAUAACUGAAGACAUCAAAACAGAACCUGAUGGAGAGGGCUACAGAGUACCACAACCAACCAGUGAUCAGCCCCUCUCAGUUCAUCCAGACUGCUCUGCUACACUGGAAAAACCAUAUUGGUGUCAACAAUGUGGCAAAAGCUUCACACGUAAGGGAAACUUGACCUUGCAUUUAAAGAUACACACAGGAGAGAAACCUUUUCUGUGCAAACAAUGUGGCAAAAGGUUUAACCAGAAGAGCAACUUGACCAUCCACACAAGGGUACACACAGGAGAGAAUCCCUAUCAGUGCAAACAAUGUGGCAAAAGGUUUAACCAUAAGAGCAACUUGACCAGCCAUACAAGGAUACACACAGGAGAGAAUCUGUAUCAAUGGAAAGCUAUUUAAGACUUCAUCAGUGGGUUCACACGGGAGAAAUCUGACCAGUACAAAUAAUGUGGCAAAAGCUUUGGUUAUAAACAGCCAUACAUCACAUAUGAGCACUCACAUUAAAGGGCAUACAUUAUAUUACUGCAGUGAGUACAGCAAAAGCUUCAGCCUGAAGUGAAAGUGAAAACAACAAAUGAUACUUUGUAUCAUUGUGGAUUACUUCUCACAUCCAACUUGUAAAUUAAUGUUAUGUUCUGUUUUCUGGCACUUGACAACAAAACAAAUUGAGUUGUGAAAAUCAUCAGUCAGUAUUAGAUUUCUUAGCUGAAACUAGCUCUCACUUUCAGAGACCUACAGUGCAUUCGGAAAGUAUUCAGACCCUUGACUUUUUCAAUUUUGUUAUGUUACAGCCUUAUUCUAAAAUUGAUUAAAUAGUAUUUUUUUCUCUCAUCAAUCUACACACAAUACCCCAUAAUGACAAAGCAAAAACAGUUUUUUAGAAAUUUUAGCAAAUGGAUCUCUCUUUACUUUGCUCCGUUCAGCUUUGCCUCGAUCCUGACUAGUCUCCCGGUCCCUGCAACUGAAAAACAUCCCCACAGCAUUAUGCUGCCACCACCAUGCUACACCGUAGGGAUGGUGCCAGGUUUCCUCCAGAUGCGACGCUUGGUAUUCAGGUCAAAGAUUUCAAUCUUGGUUUCAUCAGACCAGAGAAUCUUGUUUCUAAUGGUCUGAGAGUCUUUUAGGUGCCUUUUGGAAAACUCCAAGCGGGCUGUCAUGUGCCUUUUGCUGAGGAGUGGCAUCCGUCUGGCCACUCUACCAUAAAAGCCUGAUUGGUGGAGUGCUGCAGAGAUGUUUGUCCUUCUGGAAGGUUCUCCCAUCUCCACAGAGUGACUCUGGAGCUCUGUCAGAGUGACCAUCAGGUUCUUGGUCUCCUCCCCCGAUUGUUCAGUUUGGCUGGGCAGCCAGCUCUAGAAAGAGUUUUGGUGGUUCCAAACUUCUUCCAUUUAAGAAUGAUGGAGGCUACUGUGUUGUUGAGGACCUUCAAUGCUGCAGAAAUGUUUUGCUACCCUUCCCCAGAUCUGUGACUCGACACAAUCCUGUCUCAAAGCUCUACAGACAAUUCCUUCAACCUCAUGGCUUGGUUUUAGUUCUGACAUGCACUGUCAACUGUGGGACCUUAUAUAGACAGGUGUGUGCCUUCCCAAAUCAUGUCCUUUCAAUUGAAUUGUAGAAGUUGUAGAAACAUCAAGGAUGAUCAAUGGAAACAGGAUGCACCUGAUAUCAAUUCCCAGUCUUAUAGCAAAGGGUCUGAAUACUUAUGCUAUUUUUAAUACAUUUGCAAACAUUUUCUGUACUGUUUUCGCUUUGUCAUUAUGGGGUAUUGUGUGUAGAUUGCUGAUCAUUUUUUAUUAUUUAAUCCAUUUUAGAAUAAGGCUGCAAUGUAACAAUGUGGAAAAAGUGAAGGAGGACACUGCUGGCUUCAGGAAGCCCUCACCAUAUAAUUUGAGGAAAAAUAUCUAUGUAUUUGUGUUUUUUGUUUUUAAUGCUUUGGUUGUUUUGUGCAAAGAUGAAAAAAUGAAAUGAAUUACAAAAAUAAACAUUUUCCCUUUCUUUUUCUACAACUAAAGAAAAAGGAAGUCCUCACCACUGUAUCUAGCACAGAGCACACAUUUGGAUUUCUAAACAAUAGGAGUUCUUAUUCAAUUGUUUAACAAUGACAUACAGGAUAUUUUGGCCACUAUCUUCUAUCUGUACCAACUAGAGGUCGACCGAUUAUGAUUUUCAAUGCCGAUACCGAUUAUUGGAGGACCAAAAAAGCAGAUACCGAUUAAUCGGACGAUUUUUUAAAAAAAUAAAAAAUUUAAAAAAAGUUUUUAUUGAUUUGUAAUAAUGACAAUUACAACAAUACUGAAUGAACACUUAUUUUAACUUAAUAUAAUACAUCAAUAAAAUCAAUUUAGCCUCAAGUAAAUAAUGAAACAUGUUCAAUUUGGUUUAAAUAAUGCAAAAACAAAGUGUUGGAGAAGAAAGUAAAAGUGCAAUAUGUGCUAUGUAAGAAAGCUAAUGUUUCAGUUCCUUGCUCAGAACAUGAGAACAUAUGAAAGCUGGUGGUUCCUUUUAACAUGAGUCUUCAAUAUUCCCAGGUAAGAAGUUUUAGGUUGUAGUUAUUAUAGGAAUUAUAGGACUAUUUCCCUCUAUAACAUUUGUAUUUCAUUAACCUUUGACUAUUGGAUGUUAUUAUAGGCACUUUAGUAUUGCCAGUGUAACAGUAUAGCUUCCGUCCCUCUCCUUGCUCCUCCCUGGGCUCGAACCAGCAACACAACGACAACAGCCACCAUCGAAGCAGCGUUACCCAUGCAGAGCAAGGGGAACAACUACUAGCAGGCUCAGAGUGAGUGACGUUUGAAACGCUAUUAGCGAGCGCUAACUAGCUAGCCAUUUCACUUCGGUUACACCAACCUCAUCUCGGGAGUUGAUAGGCUUGAAGUCAUAAACAGCACAAUGCUUGACGCACAACGAAGAGCUGCUGGCAAAACGCACGAAAGUGCUGUUUGAAUGAAUGUUUUACGUGCCUGCUUCUGCCUACCACCGCUCAGUCAGAUACUUAGAUACUUGUAUGCUUGUAUGCUCAGUCAGAUUAUAUGCAAUGCAGGACAUGCUAGAUAAUAUCUAGUAAUAUCAUCAACCAUGUGUAGUUAACUAGUGAUUAUGAUUGAUAGUUUUUUCUAAGAUAAGUUUAAUGCUAGCUAGCAACUUACCUUGGCUUACUGCAUUCGCGUAACAGGUCUCCUUGUGGAGUGCAACGAGAGAGAGGCAGGUCUAUAUUGCGUUGGACUAGUUAACUGUAAGGUUGCAAGAUUGGAUCCCCUGAGCUGACAAGGUGAAAAUAUGUCGUUCUGCCCCUGAAUAAGGCAGUUAACCCAUCGUUCCUAGGCCGUCAUUGAAAAUAAGAAUGAAUUAACUGACUUGCCUAGUUAAAUAAACAUAUAUUUUUUUUAAAUACCGAUUUCCGAUUGUUAUGAAAACUUGAAAUCGGAUGUUAGAAUAUUGAAGUAGCCUAUCACAUCUGCGUUGACAAUUAAUAAUGCAGCAAAUAAUUUGUUUUAAUAAAGUAGUUUUUUCAAUGGAUGUCAUAGUGAAAAGCUCUUUCUCUGUUGAACAUGAUUUCUGUGAUGGUUCAUAUUAGGCAGGUUUAAUACAUCCUCUAUCAGCUCUAUUUCUUGCCUCUUACCCCCAACCGUUUUCAUAAAGCGUCUGAGAUGAGGGCUGAUCUAGGAUCAGUUCGCCCCUGCCCAUUCAUUAUAAUUUACAUAAAGCAUCUCAAAUUAUUGCUAUUCUAGGAUCAGAUUGCCCCUCUACAUUCAUUAUAAUUGAAGAAGCAAAACUAGAUCAGCACUCCCACUCAGACGCUUUGGAUCCGAUUUAGAAAACUAUGCCUUUUAUACGCCCUUCUCAGUAGUUGGUAUUCAGACUUACCAUAUGAAGGUGCAUAAUGGGCUUUGCAGGCGUGAUUCUUUUGUGUGCGCUGAAUAAAUGUAAUUCAACCACUGAAAA